RNAcentral lists this ribosomal RNA (253 nucleotides) under uncultured bacterium. RNAcentral's name for it is "partial 16S ribosomal RNA". It matches the Rfam family "Bacterial small subunit ribosomal RNA", at positions 524 to 776 of the family's 1533-position model. The record is from RNAcentral.
UACGGAGGGUGCAAGCGUUAAUCGGAAUUACUGGGCGUAAAGCGUGCGUAGGUGGUUCGUUAAGUCCGUUGUGAAAGCCCCGAGCUCAACUUGGGAAUUGCAGUGGAUACUGGCGAGCUGGAGUGCGGUAGAGGAAGGUGGAAUUCCCGGUGUAGCGGUGAAAUGCGUAGAGAUCGGGAGGAACACCAGUGGCGAAGGCGGCCUUCUGGACCAGCACUGACACUCAAGCACGAAAGCUAGGGGAGCGAAUGGG